UACGGAGGGUGCGAGCGUUAUCCGGAUUCACUGGGUUUAAAGGGUGCGUAGGUGGGCAGGUAAGUCAGUGGUGAAAUCUCCGGGCUUAACCCGGAAACUGCCAUUGAUACUAUCGGUCUUGAAUACCGUGGAGGUGAGCGGAAUAUGUCAUGUAGCGGUGAAAUGCUUAGAUAUGACAUAGAACACCAAUUGCGAAGGCAGCUUACUACAGGGACAUUGACACUGAGGCACGAAAGCGUGGGGAUCAAACAGG
RNAcentral lists this ribosomal RNA (253 nucleotides) under uncultured bacterium. Its description in RNAcentral is "partial 16S ribosomal RNA". It matches the Rfam family "Bacterial small subunit ribosomal RNA", at positions 524 to 776 of the family's 1533-position model. The record is from RNAcentral.